RNAcentral lists this ribosomal RNA (119 nucleotides) under Lepisosteus oculatus (spotted gar). Lineage: Eukaryota; Metazoa; Chordata; Actinopteri; Semionotiformes; Lepisosteidae. The record is from RNAcentral.
CCCAGCAGCCAUAUCGCCCUGCAGCUCACAGCUGGCAGCCCACUGGAGCUCAGCAGGUGGGAGCCUGGCCAGUACCUGGAUGGGAGACCUCCUGGGAAACACUAAGGUUGCUGCAGGAA